GGCAAGCAGAAGGUCAUACACAGGAGGAGGCAGGUAGCUGGGUCCAGGGGCAGGUAGCAGGUCAUACACAGGAGGAGGCAGGUAGCUGGGUCCAGGGGCAGGUAGCAGGUCAUACACAGGAGGAGGCAGGUAGCU
Molecule: non-coding RNA, 135 nt
Organism: Salmo salar (Atlantic salmon)
Lineage: Eukaryota; Metazoa; Chordata; Actinopteri; Salmoniformes; Salmonidae
Source: RefSeq, a predicted model, not a curated record